This 465-nucleotide ribosomal RNA is filed under the name uncultured bacterium. RNAcentral's name for it is "partial 16S ribosomal RNA". It matches the Rfam family "Bacterial small subunit ribosomal RNA", at positions 28 to 507 of the family's 1533-position model. The record is from RNAcentral.
GACGAACGCUGGCGGCGUGCUUAACACAUGCAAGUCGAACGGAAAGGCCCUGCUUGCAGGGUACUCGAGUGGCGAACGGGUGAGUAACACGUGGGUGAUCUGCCCUGCACUUCGGGAUAAGCCUGGGAAACUGGGUCUAAUACCGGAUAGGAGCCAUUUUUAGUGUGAUGGUUGGAAAGUUUUUUCGGUGUAGGAUGAGCUCGCGGCCUAUCAGCUUGUUGGUGGGGUAAUGGCCUACCAAGGCGGCGACGGGUAGCCGGCCUGAGAGGGUGGACGGCCACAUUGGGACUGAGAGACGGCCCAGACGCCUACGAGAGGCAGCAGGGGGGAAUAUUGCACAAUGGACGCAAGCCGGAUGCAGCGGCGCCGCGGGUGGGAUGACGGCCUUCGGGUUGUAAACUCCUUUCGCUAGGGACGAAGCUUUUUGUGACGGUACCUAGAGAAGAAGCACCGGCUAACUACGUG